UAAAUUAAACCCUAACCAAAUCCUAAUUCUAAACCAAAUCCUAACCAAAUCCUAAUCUUAAAUAAAAUCCUAAUCAAAUAUUAAUCCUAAAUCAAACCCUAACCAAAUCCUAAUCCUAAAUCAAAUCCUAACCAAAUCCUAAAUACUAAAUCAAAUCCUAAUAAUUCCUACAAUAGAUUUAGACCUCAAUUACUAAUAAAUGAACCGUUGAUCUUAACUCAAAAUUUGCAUUCUUUUCAACAAUUAAGUUGACAAUAAGUAUAAAAUUUUUUGAAAGAGAUCGGUUUUAUUAAAUAGAUGAUAGCCUCAAAAACGUGCUUGGAUAUUGGCCGACCUCCUUCUCCGAUCUUAAUACCAAUCUCAUAGAGCCAACAUCUCUCUUUUUCACCAUUCGAUUUAUCUCAAAAUUUUCAUAUACAUAGAAAAAUAAGUCUAAUAUUCUCUUACAUAAAUUUUACUCUAAUCCA
Molecule: long non-coding RNA, 467 nt
Filed under: Physcomitrium patens
Lineage: Eukaryota; Viridiplantae; Streptophyta; Bryopsida; Funariales; Funariaceae
Description: long non-coding RNA (PPAT_LNC010642)
Source: RNAcentral